UGAUAUAUUUAUCUUUUUGUUGUGAAAACCUACUCUCUUUCAGAACCGUUUGUAGGUAGAUUACCCCAAAGUCUUGGGUCAAUUCCUAACAGCUACAGUAACGUGUCGGUUCUUGAUUGUUCAAUCUUGACCGAUUUUGUGGUUCUUAUUCUGCGUUCAUAAUUCAAAAUACUUGCAAGAUUUUGUGGUUCUUAUUCUGCGUUCAUAAUUCAAAAUACUUGCAACAUGGAUUCUUCGGCACAUUAAAAAAUCGGUAUGAUAUACUUGACUGUUCUUGACCCUAAUGGAUAUGCAUAGUGGAAAUUAGGUUUUCAAUAUCAUUCAAUAAGAGUUAUUUAUUUUUGCAUCUCAUGUCAUUAAAGUAGGUGAAGGGGCAGAAUGUUAAUGUCUUCUUUUCUCAAAAUCAUAAGUAUGAAUUUUGUAUUAUUUUGUAGUAUAGAAUAUAGAUGGUGAUUUUGAGAUUUGAAAUUGGGAUGGUAGGAUAUUACCCCUAAAUGAAAUUACUAUUUGAAUUUGUUAGUUAUAUAUUUGAAAAAUAUGGACCGUGUCCGGAUGGUUUACUCUCAUAGUCUCAUUCAGAGAAUGACAAAAAAAGUUCAAAUGAGGAAAUAUAGAGACAACAAAAAAGGUAGUGAAAGAGAAUUGGAAACAUAAAAUUAAUGAGAGCAAAUGAAAAGAUUAGUGUGUCAGUGUUGGUCUAAAUUAUUCAACGAACCCUACUAAACUAUUGUGGUUGUUAGAUUUUGCACACUAUAUACUGUCGUUGAGCUUCUUAUAGUUGAAUCUUGAGGUUUUGUUAUAAGAUCUCACUGCUUUCAAAUUACUUGAAGUGGUUUACUCUUAUUGACAUAAUGUCAUAGGUGCAAGCUCUUUCUCAACAAUUUGUUAUUUACCCUACAUGUAAUCACUAUAUAAAUGUAAUCACUAUAUGAAAUUUGUAUUCAUAGCGUGAAGUGUACACGAUGUACUAGAGAUUUGAUAACUCUUUCGAAAAUUGAGAUGACAAUCCUAAAAAGUUCACGAUGUGAAUUUUGUAUUGAUAAUGUGAAAUGUGGACAAUGUUCUUGAAGCUUAAUGAUGUUUUAAAAAUUGAGAUGGUAAAAUUGUAGUUAUUGACCCUAAAUGAAAUUGUUGAAUUUUGCACUGAUAGUGUGAAAUGUGGACGAUGUUUUUGAGAAGUCCAUUUCAAAAAUCGAGAUGGUAUAAUUGGAGGUUAUUAUGAACUUUGUGUUCAUAGCGUGAAGUGUAGUCGAUGUACUUGAGACUUGAUCACCCUUUCGAAAAUUGAGAUGACAAUCCUAAAAAGUUCACUAUGUGAAUUUUGUAUUGAUAAUGUGAAAUGUAGGCAAUGUUCUUGAAGCUUAAUGAUGCUUUAAAAAUUGAGAUGGUAAAAUUGUAGUUAUUGACCCUAAAUGAAACUGCUUAAUUUUGCACUGAUAGUGUGAAAUGUGGACGAUAUUUUUGAGAAGUCCCUUUCAAAAAUUGAGAUGGUAUAAUUGGAGGUUAUUUAUUCUAAAUAUAAUCACUAUAUGAACUUUGUGUUCAUAGCGUGAAGUGUAGACGAUGUACUUGAGACUUGAUUGCUCUUUCGAAAAUUGAGAUGACAAUCCUAAAAAGUUCACCAUGUGAAUUUUGUAUUGAUAAUGUGAAAUGUAGACAACGUUCUUGAAGCUUAAUGAUGCUUUAAAAAUUGAGAUGGUAAAAUUGUAGUUAUUGACCCUAAAUGAAAUUGCUGAAUUUGCACUGAUAGUGUGAAAUGUGGACGAUGUUCUUGAGAAGUCCCUUUCAAAAAUCGAAAUGGUAUAAUUGAAGGUUAUUUAUUCUAAAUAUAAUCACUAUAUGAACUUUGUGUUCAUAGCGUGAAGUGUAGACGAUGUACUUCAGACUUGAUCACCCUUUCGAAAAUUGAGAUGGCAAUCCUAAAAAGUUACCGAUGUGAAUUUUGUAUUGAUAACGUGUAAUGUAGACAAUGUUCUUGAAGCUUAAUGAUGCUUUAAAAAUUGAUAUGGUAAAAUUGUAGUUAUUGAUCCUAAAUGAAAUUGUUGAAUUUUGCAGUGAUAGUGUGAAAUGUGGACGAUGUUCUUGAGAAGUCCUUUCAAAAAUCGAGAUGGUGUAAUUGGAGGUUAUUUAUUCUAAAUAUAAUCAUUAUAUGAACUUUGUGUUCAUAGCGUGAAGUGUAGACGAUAUACUUGAAACUUGAUCACCCUUUCGAAAAUUGAGAUGGCAAUCCCAAAAAGUUCACGAUGUGAAUUUUGUAUUGAUAAUGUGAAAUGUAGCCAAUGUUCUUAAAGGUUAAUGAUGCUUUAAAAAUUGAGAUGAUAAAAUUGUAGUUAUUGACCCUAAAUGAAAUUGUUGAAUUUUGCACUGAUAGUGUGAAAUGUGGACAAUGUUCUUGAGAAGUCCCUUUCAAAAAUCGAGAAGGUAUAAUCGGAGGUUAUUUAUUCUAAAUAUAGUCACUAUAUGAACUUUGUGUUCAUAGCGUGAAGUGUAGACGAUGUACUUGAGACUUGAUCACUCUUUCGAAAAUUGAGAUGACAAUCCUUAAAAGUUCACGAUGUGAAUUUUGUAUUGAUAAUGUGAAAUGUAGCCAAGGUUCUUGAAGCUUAAUGAUGCUUUAAAAAUUGAGAUGGUAAAAUUGUAGUUAUUGAUCCUAAAUGAAAUUGCUG
Molecule: long non-coding RNA, 2666 nt
Filed under: Cicer arietinum (chickpea)
Lineage: Eukaryota; Viridiplantae; Streptophyta; Magnoliopsida; Fabales; Fabaceae
Description: long non-coding RNA (CARI_LNC001042)
Source: RNAcentral